ACCGAUAGCAAACAAGUACGGUGAGGGAAAGAUSAAAAGCACUUUGGAAAGAGAGUUAAACAGUACGUGAAAUUGCUGAAAGGGAAAYGCUUGAAGUCAGUCGCGUCUCCCGGGACUCAGCCGUGCCCCAUCGGGCACGGUGUACUUCCUGGGUGUGAYGGGCCAGCAUYGAUUUCGGUCGUCGGAGAAAGGCCUUGGGAAUGUGGCACCUUCGGGUGUGUUAUAGCCCUGGGUCGCAUGYGACGGUUGGGAUCGAGGACCGCAGCACRUUCCUCCUUCCUUCACGGGAAUGGGGGCUCRGGGUUUGCCCAYGCAAACYUUGCUUAGGAUGCUUGGCGUAAUGGCUUUAAGCRACCCRUCUUGAAACACGGACCAAGGAGUCCAACAUGCCUGCGAGUGUUUGGGUGGAAAACCCGGAYGYGGAAUGAAAGUGAAAGGUUGGAACCUCUGUCGUGAAGGGCACCGAYGCCCGGACCAGACCUCUUGUGAUGGUUCCGAGGUAGAGCAUGCAUGCUGGGACCCRAAAGAUGGUGAACUAUGCCUGAGUAGGGCRAAGCCAGAGGAAACUCUGGUGGAGGCUYGUAGYAAUUCUGACRUGCAAAUCGAUCAUCGAACUUGGGUAUAGGGGCG
This 630-nucleotide ribosomal RNA is filed under the name Turbinellus yunnanensis. RNAcentral describes it as "Gomphus yunnanensis partial large subunit ribosomal RNA". The record is from RNAcentral. Lineage: Eukaryota; Fungi; Basidiomycota; Agaricomycetes; Gomphales; Gomphaceae.